AGUGGGUUGUACCAGAAGUAGAUAGCUUAACCUUCGGGAGGGCGUUUACCACGGUAUGAUUCAUGACUGGGGUGAAGUCGUAACAAGGUAACCGUAGGGGAACCUGCGGUUGGAUCACCUCCUUA
RNAcentral lists this ribosomal RNA (125 nucleotides) under Phocoenobacter skyensis. Its description in RNAcentral is "partial 16S ribosomal RNA". It matches the Rfam family "Bacterial small subunit ribosomal RNA", at positions 1409 to 1533 of the family's 1533-position model. The record is from RNAcentral. Lineage: Bacteria; Pseudomonadati; Pseudomonadota; Gammaproteobacteria; Pasteurellales; Pasteurellaceae.